This is a long non-coding RNA of Crotalus tigris (Tiger rattlesnake), 4089 nucleotides long. RefSeq lists it as uncharacterized. The record is from RefSeq and is a predicted model, not a curated record. The transcript has 2 exons. NCBI's taxonomy places the organism in Eukaryota, Metazoa, Chordata, Lepidosauria, Squamata, Viperidae.
UGGAAGAAAAAAUGGUGGAAACUUAACCAAAGGUGGCAUUUCUACUGUACACUUUUCCUAAAAGGUUUCCACAAUUUUGGUCACUACUGUAUAGUUCCACCCUUUGAUCAGUGCAGGAUAUGUAGAGCAAGGGUUUUCAAACUUUUUCAGGCAGCAGACUCUAUUAGUUAAAAUAAAUCCCAAAACUCUUCAUCAAAAGACAAAGGUUUGGUGAUAGAAAAUUAGUUACUGGCUGAGUGAAUUUUCUUAUUUCCCCUUUAGUCUCUUGUGGAACCCCAUAAACCUCUUGCAAAUCUGUGCAGUUGAGAAACCCUGUGCUAGAGCAUCUCUGAUGGAUGACCAUAUAGACUCUGUUUGAAGACCGCCAAAGAAGGUCUGAAAAAAAGUCCAGGAGGAGGAGGAAGAAAAAUAUUAUUUUAAUUUUAUCAUAAUAUUCUUUGUGUGAAACAAUCUAUGCAGUUCUACUUUUGAAGAAUUAUGGAUUACUUAAAUAUAAUACCAUGUAGAAGUCUAUAAUCUCAUUAAUCUUAUUAAAGUUACUCCUUAUCCUGAAGCCACUUUUAGCAUUAGUGUUCUUUGAUCCAUCUUGUGCUUAUUGCAAACUCUAAUUUUGCACAAUAAGAGAUUGCACUGACUAGUUUUAGAGGGAAAAUAUACAAUCAUAUAUCAUGGUUAGUAGGAAGUAACAUGGAAGUGUCAGAAGCAAUGUAAUUUAUACUUUAUUUUACCUCUGUUUCCACAGUUACAGUAGGUCACCUUAUACAGUAUUAAGUCAAGAGUCCAAGCCAAGAUUGUCAAGCUUAUCCGGGUAAUCCAAUCUUGUCAUUUGAAUCUAUCUCUACAUGUAAUAUAAAACCUGAGCCUUAGAGGCACAAUAUUAAUGUAUUUUCCUUAACAUUUUAUUUUACUAUUGUAAGGAGGAAGUUGGAAGUUAGAAAGAAAUUCAUUUCUAAUUACAGUAGGUAUAGUUUAUCCCUAAUCCAGUUAAGAUGUUAGAACAGGAUUAUAAAUUAUAAUAAUAUACUACAAAAUGAGAUUCUUCAAAAUAAAUUAGAAAUGUAGCUGCAUAUUAGCUAGCCAAACAAGAUACAUGCCUGAAAUCAAACAAAAUAAAAUGCUGCCUUGCAAUAUAUUUUAUAAUUUUGUUCUGUAACAGGGCAGCUUUGAGCUUUGAACUCACAGCCCCCUUUAAGGCUUCUAUUAGAAUAUUUUUUGCCAGUUUUAACUGAAGUCCAUCAUUAAUUGGUUGGGAACUUUGUACUGUAAUACAGAAGCAACAUUCCUAGCGACAACUUAGAAUAAGUACACACCAGCACCAGCAAUACUAUUGUAGACAGAAAAUUCUUCUAGCGUUCUGAGAUUUCCUAUAGCAAUUCAUUACUGAAGGGAGAGAGAGAAGUUGAAGCUGUUUGUAUGCCUUAGUUGAAUGCUCUUUACAGAAUUAUCGAAUAGUCAAUCUUACAGAGAAACUAAUGCUUUUGUACACUACCAAUAAAGAAAAAAAAAUUGACCUAGUGCACAAGGCAGUUCUUGUGUGCUGCGUUUUGUUUGAUCAAUCACAACUCAUGACUCUGCCAUUGUUUAAACUGUUUGCAAUGUCAUUUUUAUUCCAAUUCUGAAGUUAAACAUUAUUUUUAUGUGUACUGUACUCCAAUGAAGUUUCUCAAGAGAAAUACUAAUCAAUAUGUUUACUCAUAAAAUCUGUUCAAAUGAAUGGAGACAAGUUAAACAUAAUGACUCAUGACCAAUUUGGUCUGAAUGCUAUUUAUACAUUCUAGAAGCAAUUUAUUGCAAUAAUUACAAUACAGUAUUCUAAUAUAGUAUUGUUUGUGUUUUGAUACGUCAUGUUAUUAAGGGCUUACAUGUUCCUUAUGUUGGAACUCUUUGGAUGACAAGCACUGUCAUCACAGCAACUGCUAUAUUACAUAUGGUUCUGUAGAAAGUUUUUGAAGAGCAAGGGAUCAAACGGAGCAUUCUUUUAAAACUACCAAUUCUAUUAAUGAACCGAAAAGGAUCUGCCUUACCCUUUGCGCAGCCCAAAAUUGCUUUUAAAAAGGGAAAAACUAGUAUGUUUCAGAAAAGAACAGUGGGAAUACUGUACACCAACCUGUAACCAAGUCGGGUGUUGUUUUAUUUGCUUUGUGAAACAUAUUGGAGCUAUACUCUGCCAGCCUUUAAGAAAUACAGGAAAUGAGCUCUCUCAAACCCAGGAAUUUCGAAGUACUAACUGUGGUACUGAUGUGCCAUUUCAAGCAUGGCUGGUAUGCAGAGAUAUUUUUUUUUCCCCUGAGUACAAUUUCCUUAGGAUAAGAAAAGUUCCCCUGACUCUAUUCAACUUAAUUCUUCUCCAAACAAACGGUGAUUCACCACAGGCCCAACUCAAGCGCUUACCAGCCAUCACCUUCCUGCCUGCCUGAAAGCACUUGAACUGGAAACAGAAACAUAGAGGCCCAUAAUCCUGUAAAAGAAACUCUGAUCCUGCAAACCGAACUUUUCUCUCCUCUAACUGGGUAAAACCCAGUAGUGAACUGAGGAAAACAGCGCCCCUUCCCGCCAUCAGUCCACUCUGAAGCAUAAUAACCAGAGGCAAAACACCACCCACAACAAGAGGGAAAGGAGCGGAAAGGCGACGAGCGAUCCUUGAAGGUAAAGAGAACGAAAAAAACAACAAUUACCUGGAGUAGAAAAUAAUUCGUUUGGGAAACCACCCGGUCCUUGGAAGACGUCGCUGGAAUGUGGAACGGCCCCUGGAGAUACGACCGCGAUCCAAGCAGAAACCGCGCCUCUCAAUGCCCAUCGGAGGCGGAAGCUGCCCGGGAGAAGGGAGGGCAGUCUCUGUUCUGGAGGCUUUCCUGACUCAACCCAUUUCCUGUUUCGAGAAGGAGGCAGGAAAACCAACCUGGGCGCGGCCGCUCGGUCGCCGCAAACAGGUAAGCACGCUCACGCCGCUCGCCUCCCUCCCGAAUGGGAAGGACGAGGCACGGCUGGAAGAGUUUGGGAGGCACCUGCCCGGCGAAAGAAGCGCCGCUGUCUCUUGGCGUAGAUUCACUCCGCCACCCAGCCACAAUUGCCACCACCGUUCCGCCAGAGGACACCACGGCGAGCCAAACAAUAACAGGCGAGAGAAGGAGGGAGAGAGAGGGGAGGAGGGACUAGCCGGACCCGAGAAUCUGAUUAGAUGCGAGGCGGCGCUCUUCGAGCAGGACUCCAGAGAAGUUGAGGGUUCGGGGCGGCACAAUUGGCGCCCUCAGAGGGUUUGGUAUUCCGAAGGGAAGGUGUCGAAAUGGGACUACAAAGUCCAGAGGCUGAGGUUACCCCAACUACACCAAGUGUGCUUGGUCGCCUUUUGAUCCAUGCCCGGGUUAGGUCCCUGCAGUGCAUCUGAACCACAAAGCACCUGACUCCUAUUUGAGCCCUUGGCUUUGUUUGCACCCCGGAGGCUUUCAGCCCUAUUCUUCUGAGUCGAGUUUUCUGGAUUACGGCCCGCAGAAGUGCAGACACGCGUGUCCCAGCAUGUGUGCCACUAGUUGCACUAGCGCUUGGGACAGCCGCUGAACCGUUCCGGGAAAAAUGUAACCAAAGGGCAUUCACCAUUUCGCACUGGCCAGCAAGUAAGCUCAGUUCCCCUCCGUGGUCUUCCAUUCCACCGUCCUGACUCUGGAACAGGAAAUACCGGUUCAAAGCAAAACUCUAAUAAACGCAAGGAAGUCGAGUCAGUGGUGACACUGGGGCAUUCGUCAUUGUGCGGCUUUCGUUUGGCUUUAGCCCAGAUCCCAGCUGAAACUCUUGUGAAGGGAAUGAGCAAGUUUGAGAGGGACUUCCAAGGCUGGAUAUUCACUUCCAAGACGGGUUCAGCCUGUCAAUGGCUAUCUUAGGGCGAUCAAGUUUGAAUGGCAAGGAUCCACGUGAUCACUGGAUAGCAGCUAAGCAGGGGUAAAGAAAAGUGUAACUCUUGGCUGGCAUUGAGUGUCUGCCGCUGUAAUCUCAUCUAGGAAACAAAUAAUAGUUUGUUACCCAUUACUUUUGUGAUAAGUUGGCUGUGCAGGUAGAACAAGCUGAAUAAAAUACAAAGUUGUUGAAUGAGCCUGA